GACGAACGCUGGCGGCGUGCUUAACAUAUGCAAGUCGAACGGUACGGCCCUUCGGGGUACACGAAUGGCCAACGGGCGACUAACACUCGGGUUAUCUGCCCGCCACCUUGGGAUAAGCAUCGGAAACUGGGUCUACCUCCGGAUAGGACCACUGCCUUCAUGUGCUGUCGUGGCAAGCUCUUUCGGCGUGGGAUGGGCCCGCGGCCUAUCAGCUUGUUGGUGGGGUGAUGGACUACCACGGCGACGGCGGGGAGGCGGGCGGAGAGGGUGACCGGCCACACUGGGACUGAGAUACGGCCCAGACGCGUACGGGAGGCAGCAGUGGGGAAUAUUGCACAAUGGGCGCAAGCCUGAUGAAGCGACGCCGCGUGAGGGAUGCCGGCCUUCGGGUUGUAGGCCUCUUUCAGCACCGACGAAGCGCAAGUGACGGUAGGUGCAGAAGAAGGACCGGCCAACUACGUGCCAGCCGCCGCCGUAA
RNAcentral lists this ribosomal RNA (478 nucleotides) under uncultured bacterium. Its description in RNAcentral is "partial 16S ribosomal RNA". It matches the Rfam family "Bacterial small subunit ribosomal RNA", at positions 28 to 523 of the family's 1533-position model. The record is from RNAcentral.